Molecule: ribosomal RNA, 1151 nt
Filed under: human gut metagenome
Description: bacterial SSU rRNA
Rfam family: Bacterial small subunit ribosomal RNA
Source: RNAcentral
UUCGCAUGAAGGCCCCGGGAAAGCUCCGGCGGCGGGGGAUGGGGUCGCGUCCCAUCAGGUAGUAGGCGGGGCAACGGCCCACCAAGCCGACGACGGGUAGCCGGGUUGAGAGACCGACCGGCCACAUUGGGACUGAGAUACGGCCCAGACUCCUACGGGAGGCAGCAGUGGGGAAUUUUGCGCAAUGGGGGCAACCCUGACGCAGCAACGCCGCGUGCGGGACGACGGCCUUCGGGUUGUAAACCGCUUUCAGCAGGGAAGAACCUCUGACGGUACCUGCAGAAGAAGCCCCGGCUAACUACGUGCCAGCAGCCGCGGUAAUACGUAGGGGGCGAGCGUUAUCCGGAAUGAUUGGGCGUAAAGCGCGCGCAGGCGGCCGCUCAAGCGGGACCUCUAACCCCGGGGCUCAACCCCGGGCCGGGUCCCGAACUGGGCGGCUCGAGUGCGGUAGGGGAGAGCGGAAUUCCAAGUGUAGCGGUGAAAUGCGCAGAUAUUUGGAAGAACACCGAUGGCGAAGGCAGCUCUCUGGGCCGUCACUGACGCUGAGGCGCGAAAGCCGGGGGAGCGAACAGGAUUAGAUACCCUGGUAGUCCCGGCCGUAAACGAUGGGCGCUAGGUGUGGGGAAACAUUUUCUCCGUGCCGCAGCCAACGCAUUAAGCGCCCCGCCUGGGGAGUACGGCCGCAAGGCUAAAACUCAAAGGAAUUGACGGGGGCCCGCACAAGCAGCGGAGCAUGUGGCUUAAUUCGAAGCAACGCGAAGAACCUUACCAGGGCUUGACAUCCGGGUGAAGCGGCGGAGACGCCGUGGCCGAGAGGAGCCCGGACAGGUGGUGCAUGGCUGUCGUCAGCUCGUGCCGUGAGGUGUUGGGUUAAGUCCCGCAACGAGCGCAACCCCCGUCGCGUGUUGCCAGCAAUUCGGUUGGGCACUCGCGCGAGACUGCCGGCGUCAAGCCGGAGGAAGGUGGGGACGACGUCAAGUCAUCAUGCCCCUUAUGCCCUGGGCUGCACACGUGCUACAAUGGCCGGCACAACGGGUUGCGACCCCGCGAGGGGGAGCGGAUCCCUCAAAGCCGGCCCCAGUUCGGACCGCAGGCUGCAACCCGCCUGCGCGAAGCCGGAGUUGCUAGUAAUCGCGGAUCAGCACGCCGCG